CCUACGGGAGGCAGCAGUGGUGAAUAUUGGGCAAUGGGCGCAAGCCUGACCCAGCGACGCCGCGUGAAGGAAGAAGGCUUUCGGGUUGUAAACUUCUUUUAAGAGGGAAGAGCAGAAGACGGUACCUCUUGAAUAAGCCACGGCUAACUACGUGCCAGCAGCCGCGGUAAUACGUAGGUGGCAAGCGUUGUCCGGAUGUACUGGGUGUAAAGGGCGUGUAGCCGGGCUGACAAGUCAGAUGUGAAAUCCCGUGGCUCAACCAUGGAACUGCAUUUGAAACUGUCGGUCUUGAGUAUCGGAGAGGCAGGCGGAAUUCCUAGUGUAGCGGUGAAAUGCGUAGAUAUUAGGAGGAACACCAGUGGCGAAGGCGGCCUGCUGGACGACAACUGACGGUGAGGCGCGAAAGCGUGGGGAGCAAACAGGAUUAGAUACCCUAGUAGUC
Molecule: ribosomal RNA, 442 nt
Filed under: uncultured bacterium
Lineage: Bacteria
Description: partial 16S ribosomal RNA
Rfam family: Bacterial small subunit ribosomal RNA
Source: RNAcentral